UAGGGAAUAUUGGACAAUGGGCGAAAGCCUGAUGGUGCGACGCCGCGUGAGGGAUGAAGGCCUUCGGGUUGUAAACCUCUGUCACCGGGGAAGAAACGCUUCAAGUUAAGAGCUUGAAGCCUGACUUAACCCGGAGAGGAAGCAGUGGCUAACUCUGUGCCAGCAGCCGCGGUAAUACAGAGACUGCAAGCGUUAUUCGGAUUCACUGGGCGUAAAGGGUGCGCAGGCGGCCAAGUGUGUGAGGCGUGAA
RNAcentral lists this ribosomal RNA (250 nucleotides) under uncultured bacterium. Its description in RNAcentral is "partial 16S ribosomal RNA". It matches the Rfam family "Bacterial small subunit ribosomal RNA", at positions 355 to 598 of the family's 1533-position model. The record is from RNAcentral.